This 230-nucleotide non-coding RNA is filed under the name Aedoeadaptatus coxii. RNAcentral describes it as "Peptoniphilus coxii T-box sequence". It matches the Rfam family "T-box leader". Rfam says of the family: Uncharged tRNA acts as the effector for transcription antitermination of genes in the T-box leader family. T-boxes are found upstream of many aminoacyl-tRNA synthetase genes and some amino acid biosynthetic genes usually in Gram-positive bacteria. The record is from RNAcentral. Lineage: Bacteria; Bacillati; Bacillota; Tissierellia; Tissierellales; Peptoniphilaceae.
CCAACGAGUUUGACGAGGAGAGUACCUCGAAUUUUCGGACUACAGAGAAGCUUCGUUGGUGAGAGAAGCUGUUUUGAGAAUCGGGAGAACAUGGCCUCUGACUUUUGCGAUCGAUAAUAGAUCGUUACAGGUGCGCCUGUUAUAGCGCCAGGGUAUGAUAGUACCCGUAAGGUGUAAAUCGUGAGGUUUACAUAAAUAAAGGUGGUAACACGGUUUAUAUCGUCCUUUUC